GAUUGAACGCUGGCGGCAGGCUUAACACAUGCAAGUCGAGCGGAGAUGAGGUGCUUGCACCUUAUCUUAGCGGCGGACGGGUGAGUAAUGCUUAGGAAUCUGCCUAUUAGUGGGGGACAACAUUCCGAAAGGAAUGCUAAUACCGCAUACGCCCUACGGAGGAAAGCAGGGGAUCUUCGGACCUUGCGCUAAUAGAUGAGCCUAAGUCGGAUUAGCUAGUUGGUGGGGUAAAGGCCUACCAAGGCGACGAUCUGUAGCGGGUCUGAGAGGAUGAUCCGCCACACUGGGACUGAGACACGGCCCAGACUCCUACGGGAGGCAGCAGUGGGGAAUAUUGGACAAUGGGCGGAAGCCUGAUCCAGCCAUGCCGCGUGUGUGAAGAAGGCCUUUUGGUUGUAAAGCACUUUAAGCGAGGAGGAGGCUACCUGGAUUAAUACUCUAGGAUAGUGGACGUUACUCGCAGAAUAAGCACCGGCUAACUCUGUGCCAGCAGCCGCGGUAAUACAGAGGGUGCGAGCGUUAAUCGGAUUUACUGGGCGUAAAGCGUGCGUAGGCGGCUGAUUAAGUCGGAUGUGAAAUCCCUGAGCUUAACUUAGGAAUUGCAUUCGAUACUGGUCAGCUAGAGUAUGGGAGAGGAUGGUAGAAUUCCAGGUGUAGCGGUGAAAUGCGUAGAGAUCUGGAGGAAUACCGAUGGCGAAGGCAGCCAUCUGGCCUAAUACUGACGCUGAGGUACGAAAGCAUGGGGAGCAAACAGGAUUAGAUACCCUGGUAGUCCAUGCCGUAAACGAUGUCUACUAGCCGUUGGGGCCUUUGAGGCUUUAGUGGCGCAGCUAACG
RNAcentral lists this ribosomal RNA (836 nucleotides) under uncultured Pseudomonadota bacterium. Its description in RNAcentral is "bacterial SSU rRNA". It matches the Rfam family "Bacterial small subunit ribosomal RNA", at positions 27 to 857 of the family's 1533-position model. The record is from RNAcentral. Lineage: Bacteria; Pseudomonadati; Pseudomonadota.